UUUCAAAGUCUUUUUAACAUCCGGGAAAUUCGAAAUGACUGAGGUACCCCGCAUGUUCCAUUUGUCCAGGGUGGCUAAAGGAGUAAUUUCAUUCACCUCUUCAGCCUAUAUAAGCAAAAUUUUGGGGGUUUCUCCUUCAGAAGCCGCCGUCGAUCUUCUAAACCCUCACGUCGUCGUCUCCUUAACAGCAGUGCGAAAUGGAUGCCGGGGUGAAGCAUGCUGUGGUGGUGAAAGUUAUGGGUCGAACUGGAUCAAGGGGUCAGGUGACACAGGUGAGAGUGAAGUUUUUGGAUGAUCAGAAUAGGUUUAUUAUGAGGAAUGUGAAGGGACCAGUCAGAGAAGGAGACAUCCUCACCCUGCUCGAGUCUGAGAGGGAGGCCAGAAGGUUGCGUUGAUGGGUUCAUCUUUGUUCCCACAUCCAUAUUUUGGUGGCUCGAUUAUGAGUUUUGUAGUGGCAGCUAGUAUAUGACUAUGACUGUUUUAUCCUGAGUUAUGUUGAAGCUCGAUUACGAAUUUCUUGGUUUUUAAAGUUCAAAUGUAGUGUGAAGAUUGUUAUCUUUCUGGAACACUUAAAAUUUACUUGUUUUGGAAUGCAUUGGCUUGAUCGAUGACAGUA
Vitis vinifera (wine grape) is the source of this 616-nucleotide long non-coding RNA. RefSeq lists it as uncharacterized. Lineage: Eukaryota; Viridiplantae; Streptophyta; Magnoliopsida; Vitales; Vitaceae. The transcript is spliced from 2 exons. The record is from RefSeq and is a predicted model, not a curated record.